This 156-nucleotide ribosomal RNA is filed under the name Aegilops tauschii subsp. strangulata. RNAcentral's name for it is "rRNA 5_8S_rRNA". It matches the Rfam family "5.8S ribosomal RNA". Rfam says of the family: 5.8S ribosomal RNA (5.8S rRNA) is a component of the large subunit of the eukaryotic ribosome. It is transcribed by RNA polymerase I as part of the 45S precursor that also contains 18S and 28S rRNA. Functionally, it is thought that 5.8S rRNA may be involved in ribosome translocation. The record is from RNAcentral. Lineage: Eukaryota; Viridiplantae; Streptophyta; Magnoliopsida; Poales; Poaceae.
GACUCUCGCCAACGGAUAUCUCGGCUCUCGCAUCGAUGAAGAACGUAGCGAAAUGCGAUACCUGGUGUGAAUUGCAGAAUCCUGCGAACCAUUGAGUCUUUGAACGCAAGUUGCGCCCGAGGCCACUCGGCCGAGGGCACGCCUGCCUGGGCGUCA